Molecule: long non-coding RNA, 300 nt
Filed under: Physcomitrium patens
Lineage: Eukaryota; Viridiplantae; Streptophyta; Bryopsida; Funariales; Funariaceae
Description: long non-coding RNA (PPAT_LNC006525)
Source: RNAcentral
GCUCAAAUAUUGAUGUCAUAGCGCUUGCAUGAGUUUUCUUUGAUACUGUCUUUUGUCACCAUAGAUUACCUUAAAUCAUCAUUUUAGAUUGGUAUCCAUGCUUCAUGGGAAGUUUUUGGCAAGCUUUGUUUAAUCUAUUAGACAAAUGACUUGUUAUGUCUACAACCUUCUAUCCUCAAACAAAUGGACAAAAAAAAUAUGUAAAUUCGACCUUAAAAGAUAUGCUAUGGAUAUUUAAGGUACUUUAUCAUUAUGACUUGGAUGAAUAUUUAACAUCCUCAGAGUUUGCUUACAAUGAUA